Molecule: ribosomal RNA, 476 nt
Filed under: uncultured bacterium
Lineage: Bacteria
Description: partial 16S ribosomal RNA
Rfam family: Bacterial small subunit ribosomal RNA
Source: RNAcentral
GAUGAACGCUGGCGGCGUGCUUAACACACGCAAGUCGAGCGAGUGAGUUCUUCGGAACGAUCUAGCGGCGGACGGGUGAGUAACACGUGGGCAACCUGCCUCAUAGAGGGGAAUAGCCUCCCGAAAGGGAGAUUAAUACCGCAUAAAAUUAUCGAGUGGCAUCACAUGAUAAUCAAAGGAGUAAUCCGCUAUGAGAUGGGCCCGCGGCGCAUUAGCUAGUUGGUGAGGUAACGGCUCACCAAGGCGACGAUGCGUAGCCGACCUGAGAGGGUGAUCGGCGACAUUGGGACUGAGACACGGCCCAGACUCCUACGGGAGGCAGCAGUGGGGAAUAUUGCACAAUGGGGGAAACCCUGAUGCAGCAACGCCGCGUGAGUGAUGAAGGUCUUCGGAUUGUAAAGCUCUGUCUUUGGGGACGAUAAUGACGGUACCCAAGGAGGAAGCCACGGCUAACUACGUGCCAGCCGCCGCGGUAA